This 159-nucleotide microRNA precursor is filed under the name Prunus dulcis (almond). Its description in RNAcentral is "sRNA ncRNA". Lineage: Eukaryota; Viridiplantae; Streptophyta; Magnoliopsida; Rosales; Rosaceae. The record is from RNAcentral.
AGAAUGAGAGUGAUGAUGAGAUUAAGAGAGAAGAUGGGAGGAGAAAGUAACAAAAAUGAAAAAAUUUCAAAUAUAUUUCAAUUUUUAGUUUUCAUUUUCACUUUUGUUACUCAUUCAUCUCUCAUUUUCUCUCUCAAUCUCAUCUUCACUCUUACUCUU